RNAcentral lists this ribosomal RNA (440 nucleotides) under uncultured bacterium. RNAcentral's name for it is "partial 16S ribosomal RNA". It matches the Rfam family "Bacterial small subunit ribosomal RNA", at positions 338 to 795 of the family's 1533-position model. The record is from RNAcentral.
CCUACGGGAGGCAGCAGUGGGGAAUAUUGCACAAUGGGGGAAACCCUGAUGCAGCGACGCCGCGUGAGCGAUGAAGUAUUUCGGUAUGUAAAGCUCUAUCAGCAGGGAAGAAAAUGACGGUACCUGAGUAAGAAGCUCCGGCUAACUACGUGCCAGCAGCCGCGGUAAUACGUAGGGGGCAAGCGUUAUCCGGAUUUACUGGGUGUAAAGGGAGCGUAGGCGGCGGGCCAAGCCAGAUGUGAAAGCCCGGGGCUCAACCCCGGGACUGCAUUGGGAACUGUGCGGCUAGAGUGCCGGAGAGGCAGGCGGAAUUCCUAGUGUAGCGGUGAAAUGCGUAGAUAUUAGGAGGAACACCAGUGGCGAAGGCGGCCUGCUGGACGAUGACUGACGUUGAGGCUCGAAAGCGUGGGGAGCAAACAGGAUUAGAUACCCUUGUAGUC